CUGCCAGGGCCUGAGGCUGCCAUGGGCUCCAGACUCCUCUGCUGUGUGGCCCUUUGUCUCCUGGGAGCAGGUGUGGUGAAGGCUGGGGUAUCUCAGAGCCCCAGAUUCCAGGUCCUGAGGACAGAACAGAGGGUGAACUUGAGUUGUGUCCAGGAAAUGAACUACAACUACAUGUACUGGUAUCGCCAGGACCCGGGACUCGGGCUGAGGCUGAUCUAUUACUCCAUUACCUCCAAGAGUAUAAAUGAAGGUGACAUCCCCAAAGGGUACAAUGUGUCCAGACCAAAUAAAAAGAACUUCCUGCUCACGCUGGAGUCUGCCACCACCUCCCAGACGGCUGUGUACUUCUGUGCCAGCAGUGAUGCACAGCGCUGCAGGCUCACCUCCUCUCUGCACAAGAAAGCGGGGCCAGCACCCCAGGACUCAUCAUGCCCUUUGCUGACCCAGAACAGGGAACCCUGGAGCCCUGAGGCCCUGGGCAGUGUGAACCCAGGCCCAGUGGACUCCGAAGUCACGCAGAACCCUAAGCAUCUGGUCACAGCAAGAGGACAGAAUGUGACCCUGAGAUGUUCCUAUGAGACUGGACAUGAGUCUAUAUACUUGUACCAGCAGACCCCAGGCCAGGGCCCCAAGUUCCCAGUUCAGUAUUACGAUGGAAAACAGCAAGAAAAAGGAAGUCUCCCUCAAUGA
This is a non-coding RNA of Talpa occidentalis (Iberian mole), 690 nucleotides long. The record is from the annotation of a RefSeq genome assembly. NCBI's taxonomy places the organism in Eukaryota, Metazoa, Chordata, Mammalia, Eulipotyphla, Talpidae.